This 259-nucleotide long non-coding RNA is filed under the name Nicotiana tabacum (common tobacco). RNAcentral describes it as "long non-coding RNA (NTAB_LNC004402)". The record is from RNAcentral. Lineage: Eukaryota; Viridiplantae; Streptophyta; Magnoliopsida; Solanales; Solanaceae.
CGGAUUCUAAGGGGCCAUCGUCGAAAGAGGGUGGUUCUAUGAAGUCUUCAGGGCGUUCUGGAGGAUCAAAAGUGGAAAUUUCUUCUGGGUCUGUGUUGUCAAAGAAAGUGGUUUCGACGGUUGUGGAAUUGGCUGUUAUGGGCUUGAGUUUUGAUAGGUGGAUGGGUUUAGGGAGGAAGAAUGAUUGGGAUUGAAAGGGUGAAAAACGAGAAGGGGUUGUGUGUAGAGAGAGGGAAGAGAAGGUGGAGAGCGAAGCAGA